Molecule: ribosomal RNA, 663 nt
Filed under: Shinella zoogloeoides
Lineage: Bacteria; Pseudomonadati; Pseudomonadota; Alphaproteobacteria; Hyphomicrobiales; Rhizobiaceae
Description: bacterial SSU rRNA
Rfam family: Bacterial small subunit ribosomal RNA
Source: RNAcentral
UCAGAACGAACGCUGGCGGCAGGCUUAACACAUGCAAGUCGAACGCCCCGCAAGGGGAGUGGCAGACGGGUGAGUAACGCGUGGGAAUCUACCCAUCUCUACGGAAUAACUCAGGGAAACUUGUGCUAAUACCGUAUACGCCCUUCGGGGGAAAGAUUUAUCGGAGAUGGAUGAGCCCGCGUUGGAUUAGCUAGUUGGUGGGGUAAAGGCCUACCAAGGCGACGAUCCAUAGCUGGUCUGAGAGGAUGAUCAGCCACAUUGGGACUGAGACACGGCCCAAACUCCUACGGGAGGCAGCAGUGGGGAAUAUUGGACAAUGGGCGCAAGCCUGAUCCAGCCAUGCCGCGUGAGUGAUGAAGGCCCUAGGGUUGUAAAGCUCUUUCACCGAUGAAGAUAAUGACUGUAGUCGGAGAAGAAGCCCCGGCUAACUUCGUGCCAGCAGCCGCGGUAAUACGAAGGGGGCUAGCGUUGUUCGGAAUUACUGGGCGUAAAGCGCACGUAGGCGGGUAUUUAAGUCAGGGGUGAAAUCCCGGAGCUCAACUCCGGAACUGCCUUUGAUACUGGGUACCUAGAGUAUGGAAGAGGUAAGUGGAAUUCCGAGUGUAGAGGUGAAAUUCGUAGAUAUUCGGAGGAACACCAGUGGCGAAGGCGGCUUACUGGUCC